GUUGAAACACUGCUUGCCAUACGAUCACCGAAGGUAAGCAACGUCGAACCUGGUCAAUACUUAGCUGGGUGACUGCUUGGGAAUACCAGGUGC
Acanthosepion pharaonis is the source of this 93-nucleotide non-coding RNA. The record is from the annotation of a GenBank genome assembly. Lineage: Eukaryota; Metazoa; Mollusca; Cephalopoda; Sepiida; Sepiidae.